GACGAACGCUGGCGGCGUGCCUAAUACAUGCAAGUCGAGCGAGACUCUUCGGAGUCUAGCGGCGGACGGGUGAGUAACACGUGGGCAACCUGCCUGUAAGACUGGGAUAACACCGGGAAACCGGUGCUAAUACCGGAUAAUCCUUUUCCUCUCAUGAGGAAAAGCUGAAAGUCGGUUUCGGCUGACACUUACAGAUGGGCCCGCGGCGCAUUAGCUAGUUGGUGAGGUAACGGCUCACCAAGGCGACGAUGCGUAGCCGACCUGAGAGGGUGGUCGGCCACACUGGGACUGAGACACGGCCCAGACUCCUACGGAGGCAGCAGUAGGGAAUCUUCCACAAUGGACGAAAGUCUGAUGGAGCAACGCCGCGUGAGCGAUGAAGGCCUUCGGGUCGUAAAGCUCUGUUGUUAGGGAAGAACAAGUACCGGAGUAACUGCCGGUACCUUGACGGUACCUAACCAGAAAGCCACGGCUAACUACGUGCCAGCCGCCGCCGUAA
RNAcentral lists this ribosomal RNA (499 nucleotides) under uncultured bacterium. RNAcentral describes it as "partial 16S ribosomal RNA". It matches the Rfam family "Bacterial small subunit ribosomal RNA", at positions 28 to 523 of the family's 1533-position model. The record is from RNAcentral.